This is a long non-coding RNA of Pectinophora gossypiella (pink bollworm), 1327 nucleotides long. RefSeq lists it as uncharacterized. Lineage: Eukaryota; Metazoa; Arthropoda; Insecta; Lepidoptera; Gelechiidae. The record is from RefSeq and is a predicted model, not a curated record. The transcript is spliced from 3 exons.
UACACGUUUCUUCAUGUAUUUAGACUUCUAUAUAUGAAUAAUUUUAUGUGUAACCCGGGGACAUACAUAUUAUAGAUAAUGAUUGACUAUGUAGCGAAACUACAUAUAAAUUCAACGCAUUUUGAAUCUGAAAUUCUACGUUUGCUAAAGCGGUCAGGAUAGUAGCAAGUGGAAUUCCGUGGUGUCUACCUACCCCAUCGGAAAAUAGGCGUGAUUUUGUGUAUAUCCCCGCACUCCCUCCAAGGCGCAAGCUGCCGUUCGGUCUCUCGCGAGCUGACGAACAACGCCACCCGGCGCGGGCGCAACGCGCGCAGCACGCGUGGCAGGGAGCCCCCCAGUAUCACCACAUCUUCAGGGCACGCCCCCACCGCGCCCCGGAUCACCUCCUUUGAUUCUGCCCUGUUUGAAAAAACAUACCUACUAUGCAUUAUGGUAACGCAACCGAUCAUUUGGCCUAAACUUCUGGAGCUCCUGUACACCGAAAAUGUGUAUUUCCCAACCCUGACGCUGGCAGAAUUGUCCCUGUUGACAGAAGCCAUUUAGGAGGAAAAAAUAAAAUGUUAGGUGACAAUGGUGCUAAUUCCUGUAAAUACCAUCUAAUUUUAUUUUAAGUUAUAUCUGUCAUUUUCUUAUCCGCCGAAAAGGAAAGGGACGGGUAAUCGACAAGCAUAAAAUUAAUGGAACACACGUCAAUUUUAAGCACAAAUCUAAACCAACCGUCUAAAAAUUUUACAUCCGUCAAUAACCCGUCACAGUUAAGUAGACAGCACGUCAAACGGAUUGCAUACCAGCGAGGUACCUUUUGAUUCGCCCGGGUUAUUCAUUCAUUUACUCAUUCUUCCUAAAAUUAAGAGCUGUGAAUCAUCCGUCCCUUUCCUUUUCGACGGAUAUGAAAAUGACGGAUAUAACUUAAAAUAAAAUUAGGCGGUGUCUGCAGGAAUCGGGGCCAUUGGCAGUUAUGGUUGUCUCUACUCUAUGACGACCGGUUGCCAUACGACCAUAAAGUUGAAGUUAAACCGUUAUCACUAUUGGAAUAUAAUCACUAAUUGUUCUGAACUAGACGUUCUGUUUAAAAUUCCUAUAUCAACCACUACUAUAUGUAGACUGUCAACUUAACCUUAAUGUAAAAUAGAACAUUGAAUUUCGCAAAUAUUGAUUCAUUUACGGAAAUAAUACAACUUAUGAACCGGUAACAUUAUUUAUUGCAGACGACAAACAUACUUACUACAAGAACAACAUUGUUGAAUUACCGAUUCUGGUAGACAGAAACUUUAUUUUAUUUUAUGAAGUGUGGCAGGAUCGUAUGAAAUUGAAUUCGAGUCUCUAG